AAGCGAAAGUAGUAAUUGCAAGAUAUAUAAUUAUGCAAUGCUAACAGGUAAUGAGCAUGUAAGCAACAUGUAAUCAUAGUCAAACAGUAAUGAAUCAACUGAAUAAUAGAAGCAUAGCAACUAUUAAAAGCAUGAAUAUAAACAUAAAUGUGUAAGUAACAACUGUACACUGUAACUGGUAAUCAUUCAUUACUGUCCAAUUUUCUUUAGCACUUUCCUUUUAUUCAUAGGGAGCUACUCAAGGUAGUCCAGCUUGCGCCGCGCCUAAUGGCCCCGUGGUAGUGUACACUCCCCACGGCAAUCCACUUCGGCACCCAAUCCCGCACGGGCGAGCAACUGUCGCGUAGGCCAACUCCGGAGUGCCGGCUUGUAGGGAGCUACCCUCACAAGCGUGUGCGAAUGAGCACGAUGGCAAGCAAGCAUAUUCCACUGUCCACAUGUCUCAAUUAUCAUAUUUUCAUUUGCAAUGUUCUCAGUCUCGAUCCUCGAUCGAAAUUUCAAUAUAACAAAUAUUAACAACAACUAGAAUCCACUAGUUUAGUAAGCAUGCAAGAGUAAUGCUAAUUUACACCUGGCAUUAGAAUCUUUUCACUAUCAACAUAGUCCCAAAGCAUGUCAUGGUUCUCUACUUUAUAGUCAAAAGAAUGUCAUUGUUCUCUACUUUGUACUCCAACAAGUAAAAAGAGAAUGUCAUGGUUCUCUACUUUUCAUGAGCAUAAUAACUUGUCUCAUAGUUAUUCAACUAAACUAAACAGGAGUAUGAAUACUUUUAUGCAUGAGGAUUCCCUACUUCAUAGAGAUUCUAUUUCAAUUAUACCAACAUUAUGGCAACAUGAUGCGCGUACUUUACUAAUCACAUUACUCACAAUCACACAUAACUAUACCAACUCUAUGGUACAUAUAGAACAUAGGGGAGCUUCACUUGCUCUGGUUAGGUCAAACCCACCUAGUACUAGGCUCCAAAUUAGUCCCCAAAAGUCCGUAAUUUAGCUCCACUAGGCCUCAGCCCUGCUGCCAACGAAGCACGAAAUGCGCAUCGAAGCGAUUACAUAAGAAUCCAAUUUCGGCAAAUUCUCAAUUAAUACGAAGUGGAAGCUUAAUUCCCUGUUUUGGCUCAGUUCAUUACCUCAUGUUCAGCUUCCGGAAGGCCCUCCAAUGCCAAACGAAGGUGGCCCAAAGGUCAAAUAUCCUCUCGCUGUGAACAAUACCGAAACGGCGUCAAAAUGCUUGUAUAUGAGCUUAUAUAGUUCAACUCUUGCGAAAUUGAAUUUAUAACGGAAGUUCCUGCUUACCCUGGGUUAGAGCAGCUUCCAAACCAGCUUCUAAGAGUACAAAUUCAGCUCAACGAAGCUCGAAGACCUGCUGCGAAGAAAUAAUCCCCAAUUUGCAUCAAUUCGCUCAAAUAAUUGCAUUUUGUUCCAAUUUAGCUUGAUAAAUGGCUAAUUAUUCUAAUUAAGCUUCAAAGUAGCUUAUCCCUGGUCUAAGAAGGUUAAGUCACAGCUAAUUAACUCAUAUUUAAUAGCUGAAAUCUCAGUUUAAAUCAGUUGGAAGCAAAAACGCAAAAGCAACACUUAAAUCGACUAAUAGAACGUUGAUAAUGGAGAAAAUCGAGUCGAUUACCUUCUCAAGCUUCCAACCAGCACUUUACUGGUUCAGAGCUGCGAAAAACUCUCCGAAACACCCUCUCACACGUCCACGUGAGCUCUGUGACACCGGCAACGAGCGAAGAUCGAGCGAGGCGACGAAAACGACGCAAAACGACGACUUUUAUCUAGAGAGAGAAAAUUCCUAGAGAGAGAGAAGAAGGUAAAAGAAGCCUUCUCAGAACUCUAGCAACCUCCUCUGAGCAUCCCAGGUCGUGCUGGGUUCAAGAAGAUAGGAACAAGAUGUGAAAAGACCAAAAGACCCUUGCUGCCACGUUUUACCAUUGUGUACCGGUACACAAUGAUGGUUGUACCGGUACACCAAGCAGAAAACUGCUAAUUUCGCCAGCUCAAUGCACCUUCUUACUUUUAGCUUUCCAAUCAUCCUCUAAAUUGUCCAAAAACUUGUCCAAGCCCUUUAGAAUAUGUAGGAUAAAUCCACACUUCAUUCCACACACUCGAACUCUACAAUUUGCGAAAGUUCAGUGUAUUACAUUCAACCCUCCUAAAAAGAAGUUUCGUCCGCGAAACUUGUAAACACUUACCUCAAGAUUCCGUCGAGAAUAGAUAGGGAUAAUGCUCUUGCAUUACACUCUCCAGUUUCCAAGUGACUUCCCGUUCCUCGUGAUUGCUCCAAAGUAUCCUUACGUACAGUAUCUCGCAGUUUCGAAGCCGUUUCACUCCACGAGCUAGGAUUCUCACGGGAUGUUCUUCAAAACUUAAAUCUUCUCGUAAAUCCACUGGAGUAUUUUCCAAUAUGUGGGUUGGAUCAAAAACAUACUUUCGCAGUGUAGAUACAUGAAAUACAUUGUGUACUCCCGGUAGGUUCAGCGGUAAAGCAAGCCGAUACGCUACGGGGCCUAUCCGCUCCAAUACCUCGUAGGUUCCAAUAAAUCGAGGACUCCACUUUCCUCGAAUGCCAAAUCUUUUAACUCCUUUCGUCGGGAAAAUCUUUAGGAAUACAUGAUCGCCAACUUGAAACUCCAGUUCUCGUCGACGUUUAUCCGCAUAGCUCUUUUGUCGACUUUGUGCUGUCAGUAGANCGUCGACGUUUAUCCGCAUAGCUCUUUUGUCGACUUUGUGCUGUCAGUAGACGUUCUCGUGCCAGUCGAACUUUAGCUUCAGCUUCUUGCAGUAUAUCUGGACCCAAAACUAAUCUUUCACCCACUUCACUCCAAUGAAGUGGUGAUCUGCACUUUCUAUCAUAAAGGGCUUCAAAAGGUGCCAUCUGAAUACUUGCUUGAUAACUAUUGUUAUAAGCAAAUUCAGCCAUCGGUAAGAACUGUGACCAACUGCCUUGGUAAUCAAUCACACAGGCUCGCAACAUAUCCUCAAGGGUCUGGAUGGUACGCUCAGACUGCCCAUCACUUUGAGGGUGAAAAGCAGUACUAAAAUCUAAUCGGGUACCUAAGGCUUCUUGUAAACUCCUCCAGAAAUGUGAAACAAAUCGGGUGUCUCGAUCAGAAACAACAGAGACUGGUACUCCAUGUAAUCGCACAAUUUCAUCUAGGUACACUUGUGCGAGUCUUUCCCCUGACCAGACUGUAUGGAUUGGGAUAAAGUGUCACGCCCGGGUACCAGCGGAAGCAUAUCCAGUACGUGCACAGACCCGCCAUACACCUGCAGUAUAUAAGGCGUCUACAAGAAACAAGUCGAUAGGAGUAAAAAUAUAACAUAAUCCUAUCCUGAUAUCAGAGUAUAAUAAAAGUCACAAAGACGAUCAACAAAAGAAUGAGAGUGUCCAACUCAAAAUAUAAGUACAAAAGAAAGUACUAAAACUGCCACAUCUGGAUCCAAAACAUAUAUACAACACAGGGUACACAAAAUAUCUGUAUAAUGGUAGUCUCUCUAUAAACUGGACAUCACCCUCGGCCGUAACCCGAGUAGCAAGGUGAUCGACUAGCACGCUCCUAGCAAUGUCUAGCUAGACGCGACUCCCUUGCUACGGUCCCUAGCCUCUCCUGUAGAUGGCUCUGUAAAAACAACAAUAAAAAGGGCGUGAGAACUAUUAACAAUAGUUCCCAGUGGGUAAGCCGCCAGCCUCGGCGAAUUACAUCACUAGGCUCAAGAUGUACUAAAUGAAAGUAAAAGCGAUAAUUAUAUGAUAUAAAUAUGCAAUGCUAACAGGCAAUAGGCAUGUAAUCACAUGUAAUCAUGAUUUCUGCAGUAAUGAAUCAGUUGAGUAAUAGAAGCAUAGCAACUACUAUAAACACAAGCAUGAACAUGGAUGUGUAAGUAAAUACUGUACACUAUAACUGAUGAGCAUUCAUUACUGUCCUUUGUCAUUUAGUACUUUCUUUUCAUUCAUAAGAAUCUACCCAAGGUAGUCCAUCUUGCGCCGCACCUAAUGGCCCCGUGGUAGUAUACACUCCCCACGGCAAUCCACUUCGGCACCCAAUCCCGCACGGGCGAGCAACUGUCGUGUAGGCCAACUCCGGAGUGCCGGCUUGUAGGGAGCGACCCUUACAAGCAUGUGCGAAUGAGCACGAUGGCAAGCAAGCAUAUUCCACUGUCCACAUGUCUCAAUUAUCAUGUUUUCAUUUGUAAUGUUCUCA
Molecule: long non-coding RNA, 4198 nt
Filed under: Ananas comosus (pineapple)
Lineage: Eukaryota; Viridiplantae; Streptophyta; Magnoliopsida; Poales; Bromeliaceae
Description: long non-coding RNA (ACOM_LNC033181)
Source: RNAcentral